This is a long non-coding RNA of Cygnus olor (mute swan), 961 nucleotides long. RefSeq lists it as uncharacterized. The record is from RefSeq and is a predicted model, not a curated record. The transcript has 3 exons. Lineage: Eukaryota; Metazoa; Chordata; Aves; Anseriformes; Anatidae.
GUACACACCCCCAGCGAAGAGUCAGCGCAGCGCAGCAGGGGAGGCCGCGGCCGGCGGCGGGUACCCCAGCACGCAGCACACCGCACACCUGCAGCGCAGGGCAGCCGGCUGGUAACACACAGCAGCUGCCGGCUGUCUGCUGAAACUGGGCAGGAGCCUUUACCUGAGGCUGUCACUCGACAUAAAGAAGCCGUACCAAUAGGCUGUGUGCAUAUAUUAGGUCUCCUCACACCAGCAGCCUGGAUAAGCACGAACGGCUCCGAAACGAGGAUCUCAGAACAGCUCAGUAGUUAAUGAUCAACACCACUCCGAGGAGUGCGCAGCAUGAAAUACAUGCCCGGAUUUCAUUUCCAGUGGCAGCCAAGCGGGUUAAUGACUGUGCCACUGCAGGCAGCGAAGAAGAGAGAAGAAAAGGCACCUCAGAGCACAGGCACCUUUGAGGAGCGGUGCUGGGUGCAGGCGGGGGGCAUCGUGCGGGCAGCGGGGAGGCAGAGCACCGUGGCAUGCACGGGGUCACCGUCUGCAAUGGCCCGGACCUGGCCUUCACGUCGGCCCUUUGCUGACAGCACACCUCACGCCAUAGCCCUUAGAAACUUGGUGGGUAUUACCUUGGUUUAUAGCAGUAAGAAACCAAGGAAACUCUAAUCAGUCCAUUUGUAUUCAUUUUUGUACUACUUUAAGAUAAUAAUCACUUUGGGUUUAUAAACAGUUUUUGUGGAAGACCUAAAAUAAUUGUCCCUCAAAACUGCUGCGAGCUGCUGCAUCGGUACAAAAACACGGGCUUAAAGCUAAAGGCAAAGUUAAAGGUGUCUGGCCAGCACGUGGGACUUCAUAGCUAUCUAAAGUACUGCAUUCCUUAGUCAGUGGAGGCGGUGGGCCGUGUCUCUGGGUUAGGAGGAAAUGAUCAAUGCAGGAUUGUUCUCUUGAUGUGCAACUAAACAACAUUAAAGUGGGUUCCAAC